Molecule: ribosomal RNA, 433 nt
Filed under: uncultured bacterium
Lineage: Bacteria
Description: partial 16S ribosomal RNA
Rfam family: Bacterial small subunit ribosomal RNA
Source: RNAcentral
AACGAACGCUGGCGGCAUGCCUAACACAUGCAAGUCGAACGAAGGCUUCGGCCUUAGUGGCGCACGGGUGCGUAACGCGUGGGAAUCUGCCCUUUGGUUCGGAAUAACAGCUGGAAACGGCUGCUAAUACCGGAUGAUGACGAAAGCCCAAAGAUUUAUCGCCAAUGGAUGAGCCCGCGUUGGAUUAGGUAGUUGGUGGGGUAAAGGCCUACCAAGCCGACGAUCCAUAGCUGGUCUGAGAGGUUGAUCAGCCACACUGUGACUGAGACACGGCCCAGACUCCUACGGGAGGCAGCAGUAUGGAAUAUUGGACAUCGGGCGCAAGCCUGAUCCAGCAAUGCCGCGUGAGUGAUGAUGGCCCUAGGGUUGUAAAGCUCUUUUACCCGGGAAGAUAAUGACUGUACCGGGAGAAUAAGCCCCGGCUAACUCCGUG